Molecule: ribosomal RNA, 327 nt
Filed under: uncultured eukaryote
Lineage: Eukaryota
Description: partial 18S ribosomal RNA
Rfam family: Eukaryotic small subunit ribosomal RNA
Source: RNAcentral
CCCUUAGAUGUUCUGGGCCGCACACGCGCUACACUGAAGGAGGCAGCGUGUACUCCUGGAUCGAAAGAUUUGGGUAACCCGCGAAUCUCCUUCGUGCUAGGGAUUGAGGUUUGCAAUUAUCCUUUAUGAACGAGGAAUUCCCAGUAAGUGCAAGUCAUAAGCUUGCGCUGACUACGUCCCUGCCCUUUGUACACACCACCCGUCGCUACUACCGAUUGAAUGAUUUAGUGAGGACUUCGGACUGGGACCGAUGCGGCUUUCGGGCUGCGUCGGUAUUCUGGAAAGAUGUCCAAACUGUAUCAUUUAGAGGAAGUAAAANUCGUANCA